AAAUUGAAGAGUUUGAUCAUGGCUCAGAUUGAACGCUGGCGGCAGGCCUAACACAUGCAAGUCGAACGGUAACAGGAAUCAGCUUCUGAUUCGCUGACGAGUGGCGGACGGGUGAGUAAUGUCUGGGAAACUGCCUGAUGGAGGGGGAUAACUACUGGAAACGGUAGCUAAUACCGCAUAAUGUCGCAAGACCAAAAAGGGGGACCUUCGGGCCUCUUGCCAUC
RNAcentral lists this ribosomal RNA (224 nucleotides) under Shigella boydii. Its description in RNAcentral is "partial 16S ribosomal RNA". It matches the Rfam family "Bacterial small subunit ribosomal RNA", at positions 1 to 222 of the family's 1533-position model. The record is from RNAcentral. Lineage: Bacteria; Pseudomonadati; Pseudomonadota; Gammaproteobacteria; Enterobacterales; Enterobacteriaceae.